UAAACGGGAUGGGUGUGCACUAGGCUGAGGGACUGAAAUGGUUGGAACAUUAAGUACUUUGUCCUUGGAUGAUCCGUCCCUGGGUGCUGUCCAGGGGGUCCCAGCUUAUGGUCUCUCCUGGAGUCAGAUGUUGCCCCAGGGUAAACUGAAACUUCAGGCCUACUUUAUGGUUGGUCUCCACUGAGCCUUGGCAUGGCAGCAGUGCAGCUAAGAAGCAGGAGCCACCUCCUCUCAGCAUGCAGUGCAGUCACCAGCACGAAAUGUAUCCACAUGCUCCUCCUCCCACCAUAAGGGUCUUUGGCUCAUGGCCAGAGCCAAGGCCUCCAAAGAGGAACUCAGCCCCUCGCAGACUGACAGUUGUGGAAGUGUUUCUCAAGGCAAUAGAAUGGCAAUCGAGGACAAAUGGGACAGCAGGGGAACAGCCGGUGCAAAUGCAUGUAAGUGGGGAAACUGGGGAGUCUAAAGAAAGCCCACAGCCUAGUUAGCCUGGCCUCUGAUGCUGGUUUCUUAGUUUCUGCAGAUGGUGACAUCCUGGGCAGGGGAAGUGAGCAUCCCCCAGCCACCACCGCCUCUUCUGUCUGUACAAAAUGACUUUGGUAUAAAAGGUUGAGUUGGGUAGCAGCCUUGCCAGUAGUAUAGUCUCUCUCUCUCUCUCUCUCUCUCUCUCUCUCUCUCUCUCUCUCUCUCUCUCUCUCUCAUCUCCCUCCCCCCUCCCUUCCUCUCUGCCUCCUUCCUACAUUGGAAAUGCCUGGUUACAGUGUUCAAGUGCAGCAGCAAAGGGCACUGAGUGACUUAAUGGGUGUAACUUUGGAUUCUCUCAUGUUAUUUCUUUUACUGAGGUACAGGGCAUGAAACCCAGUGCCUUAUAUGGUACUGCUCUGCCACUGAGCCACACCCCAGCCCCUCACUGGGGGAUUCUAGACAGGUGCUCUGCCACUGAGCCACACCCCAGCCCCUCACUGGGGGAUUCUAGACAGGUGCUCUGCCACUGAGCCAUGUCCCAGCUCUCUUUCUACUGCUUUGGUGUUGCACUUUGAUACAGGGUCACACUAUGCAGCCCUGGCUUUCCUCGAAACACCUGUAGAUCAAACUCACCUUGAAUUCUUGAGCAGUCAUUGUCUAGGCAUGUGUCACAAUUCUCAGCAUUGUUUGUUUGUUUUGUUUUGUUUUUACAUUUUAAUUUUCAGACAGGGUCUUACAAUAAAUUGUUU
Molecule: long non-coding RNA, 1211 nt
Filed under: Cricetulus griseus (Chinese hamster)
Lineage: Eukaryota; Metazoa; Chordata; Mammalia; Rodentia; Cricetidae
Description: lncRNA (ENSCGRG00015034232.1)
Source: RNAcentral